AAUACAGAACAGAGAA
Molecule: small RNA, 16 nt
Filed under: Arabidopsis thaliana (thale cress)
Lineage: Eukaryota; Viridiplantae; Streptophyta; Magnoliopsida; Brassicales; Brassicaceae
Description: ATSL011530
Source: RNAcentral